Molecule: small nucleolar RNA, 93 nt
Organism: Tuber melanosporum (Perigord truffle)
Lineage: Eukaryota; Fungi; Ascomycota; Pezizomycetes; Pezizales; Tuberaceae
Source: Rfam
CUAUGAUGAUGCCCAAUUUAGAUGACGAGUCCUAUCCGGGUUUUUCCCGAUGACGAAACAUCAUUUUAACAACCAUUCAUGCAAUUUCUGAAC